Molecule: long non-coding RNA, 409 nt
Filed under: Brassica napus (rape)
Lineage: Eukaryota; Viridiplantae; Streptophyta; Magnoliopsida; Brassicales; Brassicaceae
Description: long non-coding RNA (BNAP_LNC014065)
Source: RNAcentral
UCGUGAUAAUCCGCGACCGCCUUGUAGCGCCCGUUGAGCUCUCCAAACUUUUGCGAGAACUUAUCACGACGGCUCUUCACAACUUCGACUAUCUCUCUCUUCCCUCGCCUAUAGGCAUGGUUGACCUCCCUCUCGAACGACUCUCUCUCACGACGACGAGAACUUUCCAACUCAUCUUUCAAACGAGCAAUCUCUUGGUCAGCCACCUCAACCUUGAAUCGAGCCAUCCGAGCCUCUUGUUUGCUUGUAUCGAGGGCUCGGUUUAUCAUAAGAAGGCCUUGCGAGAAUUCUCAAAAUCAGUAAAGCUUAGGGCCAAACAAAACCCGAGAAUGUCCAAAGAUGAGAACCUACCCCAAUGACCAUCCUCGCCGCCUUGGAAAAAUCUGGCACUUCGUUGGAUCCACCCUCA